Molecule: ribosomal RNA, 253 nt
Filed under: uncultured bacterium
Lineage: Bacteria
Description: partial 16S ribosomal RNA
Rfam family: Bacterial small subunit ribosomal RNA
Source: RNAcentral
UACGUAGGGGGCAAGCGUUGUCCGGAAUCAUUGGGCGUAAAGAGCGUGUAGGCGGCCCGAUAAGUCCGCCGUGAAAGUCCAGGGCUCAACCCUGGAAUGCCGGUGGAAACUGUCGGGCUCGAGUCCGGAAGAGGCGACUGGAAUUCCUGGUGUAGCGGUGGAAUGCGCAGAUAUCAGGAGGAACACCGGUGGCGAAGGCGGGUCUCUGGGCCGUAACUGACGCUGAGGAGCGAAAGCAUGGGGAGCGAACAGG